Molecule: ribosomal RNA, 496 nt
Filed under: uncultured bacterium
Lineage: Bacteria
Description: partial 16S ribosomal RNA
Rfam family: Bacterial small subunit ribosomal RNA
Source: RNAcentral
GAUGAACGCUGGCGGCGUGCCCAAUACAUGCAAGUCGAGCGAACGGACGAGAAGCUUGCUUCUCUGAUGUUAGCGGCGGACGGGUGAGUAACACGUGGAUAACCUACCUAUAAGACUGGGAUAACUUCGGGAAACCGGAGCUAAUACCGGAUAAUAUUUUGAACCGCAUGGUUCAAAAGUGAAAGACGGUCUUGCUGUCACUUAUAGAUGGAUCCGCGCUGCAUUAGCUAGUUGGUAAGGUAACGGCUUACCAAGGCAACGAUGCAUAGCCGACCUGAGAGGGGGAUCGCCGACUCUGGAGCUGAGCCGCCGUCCUGAGUCUGACGGACGGCAGCGGUUGGGAAGCGAGCGCAAUGGGCGAAAGCCUGCCGGAGGGACGCAGGGUGAGUGAUGAAGGGCUGCGGGUGGGAAAACUCUGUUCUUGGGGAAGAACAUAUGUGGAAGUAACUGUGCGCAUCUUGACGUUCCCUAAUCAGAAGGCCCCGGCUAACUCCGU